This 439-nucleotide ribosomal RNA is filed under the name uncultured bacterium. Its description in RNAcentral is "partial 16S ribosomal RNA". It matches the Rfam family "Bacterial small subunit ribosomal RNA", at positions 338 to 795 of the family's 1533-position model. The record is from RNAcentral.
CCUACGGGAGGCAGCAGUGGGGAAUAUUGCACAAUGGGCGAAACCCUGAUGCAGCGACGCCGCGUGAGUGAAGAAGUAAUUCGUUAUGUAAAGCUCUAUCAGCAGGGAAGAAAAUGACGGUACCUGAGUAAGAAGCCCCGGCUAACUACGUGCCGGCAGCCGAGGUAAUACGUAGGGGGCAAGGGUUAUCCGGAUUUAUUGGGUUUAAAGGGUGCGUAGGCGGAUCGUUAAGUCAGUGGUAAAAUUGAGGGGCUCAACCCCUUCCCGCAAUUGAUACUGGCGCUCUUGAGUGGAAGAGAAGUAGGCGGAAUGCGUGGUGUAGCGGUGAAAUGCAUAGAUAUCAUGCAGAACCCCGAUUGCGAAGGCAGCAUGCCGACUUCCGACUGACGCUGAAGCACGAAAGCGUGGGGAUCGAACAGGAUUAGAUACCCUUGUAGUC